AGAAUCAACGCUGGCGGCGUGCCUAACACAUGCAAGUCGAACGAGAAAGGGGAGCAAUCCCUGAGUAAAGUGGCGACCGGGUGAGUAACACGUGACUAACCUACCCUCGAGUGUGGAAUAACAUCGGGAAACCGAUGCUAAUACCGCAUAACAUCGGCGCUUUUAAGAGAUGCCGAUCAAAGGAGCAAUCCGCUUGAUGAGGGGGUCGCGGCUGAUUAGCUAGUUGGCGGGUAACGGCCCACCAAGGCGAAGAUCGGUAGCCGGCCUGAGAGGGGCGCGACGGACCGACGACCUGGAACGUGAAACACGGUCCAGACUCCUACGGGAGGCAGCAGUGGGGAAUUUUGCGCAAUGGGGGAAACCCUGACGCAGCAACGCCGCGUGGAGGAUGAAGCCCCUUGGGGCGUAAACUCCUUUCGACCAAGACGAUAAUGACGGUACUGGUGGAAGAAGCACCGGCUAACUCUGUGCCAGCAGCCGC
This 481-nucleotide ribosomal RNA is filed under the name uncultured bacterium. RNAcentral describes it as "SSU rRNA". It matches the Rfam family "Bacterial small subunit ribosomal RNA", at positions 26 to 518 of the family's 1533-position model. The record is from RNAcentral.